This 429-nucleotide ribosomal RNA is filed under the name uncultured bacterium. RNAcentral describes it as "bacterial SSU rRNA". It matches the Rfam family "Bacterial small subunit ribosomal RNA", at positions 355 to 774 of the family's 1533-position model. The record is from RNAcentral.
UGGGGAAUAUUUCGCAAUGGGGGCAACCCUGACGAAGCAAUAGCCAGCGUGGAUGAAGAAGGCCUUCGGGUUGUAAAGUCCUUUCGUGGAGGACGAAAAGGUGGGUUCUAAUACAAUCUGCUAUUGACGUGAAUCCAAGAAGAAGCACCGGCUAACUCCGUGCCAGCAGCCGCGGUAAUACGGGGGGUGCAAGCGUUAAUCGGAAUCACUGGGCGUAAAAGGUAAGUAGACGGUACGUUAGGUCUGUCGUGAAAUCCCCGGGCUCAACCUGGGAAUGGCGGUAGAAACCGGCGCACUAGAGUAUGGGAGAGGGUGGUGGAAUUCCAGGUGUAGCGGUGAAAUGCGUAGAUAUCUGGAGGAACAUCAGUGGCGAAGGCGGCCACCUGGCCAAUACUGACGCUGAGGGCACGAAAGCGUGGGGAGCAAACA